Molecule: ribosomal RNA, 253 nt
Filed under: uncultured bacterium
Lineage: Bacteria
Description: partial 16S ribosomal RNA
Rfam family: Bacterial small subunit ribosomal RNA
Source: RNAcentral
UACGUAGGGGGCAAGCGUUGUCCGGAUUUAUUGGGCGUAAAGAGCGUGUAGGCGGCUAGGUAGGUCCGUUGUGAAAACUCGAGGCUCAACCUCGAGACGCCGAUGGAAACCAUCUAGCUAGAGUCCGGAAGAGGAGAGUGGAAUUCCUGGUGUAGCGGUGAAAUGCACAGAUAUCAGGAAGAACACCCGUGGCUAAGGCGGCUCUCUAGUACGGUACUGACGCUGAGACGCGAAAGCGUGGGGAGCGAACAGG